RNAcentral lists this unclassified non-coding RNA (368 nucleotides) under Hevea brasiliensis (rubber tree). The record is from RNAcentral. Lineage: Eukaryota; Viridiplantae; Streptophyta; Magnoliopsida; Malpighiales; Euphorbiaceae.
AAUGGGUGCAAAAUAAUGUACGAAACUAUGGAAAUGUCAAAUUCCGUUACAUUGCAGUUGGAAAUGAGGUGAAGCCCUCAGAUCCAUUCGCAAGGUUCCUAGUUCCUGCCAUGCAAAAUAUUCGCAGUGCACUCAAUUCAGCUGGUCUUGGGAAUAUUAAAGUUUCUACAGCUAUUGAUACUGGAGUCCUUACAGACCAGUCCUUCCCUCCUUCUAAUGGGGCUUUCCGGCAAGAAUAUCGACCAAUUCUUGAUCCUGUUAUUGGAUUUCUUGUGAACAACAAAUCUCCAUUGCUCGUCAACUUAUAUCCAUACUUCAGUUACAUUGGCAAUACUCGAGACAUCCGUCUUGAUUAUGCUCUUUUCACA